Molecule: unclassified non-coding RNA, 269 nt
Filed under: uncultured fungus
Lineage: Eukaryota; Fungi
Description: sequence contains ITS1, 5.8S rRNA gene
Rfam family: 5.8S ribosomal RNA (bases 221-269)
Source: RNAcentral
UUUCCGUAGGUGAACCUGCGGAAGGAUCAUUACAAUGUUUUCUGUCGGGAGGUCGUGCCCUCGUGGUACGGCCUGUCGGCAUGUAACGUCACCCUGUGAACCUACCAUGUUUGGUGUGUGUCCGGCCGACCUAGUUGAGGGCGCGAGCCCGGGACGAGGUAGACCGCCGCACGCACCAGUAUCUACCCAACCUCAGUCUGAUAGAAAAACAAACCGAGAAAACCUCCAACAACGGAUCUCUUGGCUCCGGCAUCGAUGAAGAACGCAGC